This 818-nucleotide ribosomal RNA is filed under the name uncultured bacterium. Its description in RNAcentral is "bacterial SSU rRNA". It matches the Rfam family "Bacterial small subunit ribosomal RNA", at positions 8 to 826 of the family's 1533-position model. The record is from RNAcentral.
AGAGUUUGAUCCUGGCUCAGGAUGAACGCUGGCGGCGUGCCUAAUACAUGCAAGUCGAGCGAGAAUCAGCAGAUCGGAGAUUCGUCAAAGUGAAGCUGAGGAAAGCGGCGGACGGGUGAGUAACGCGUAGGCAACCUGCCCUUAGCAGAGGGAUAGCCAUUGGAAACGAUGAUUAAAACCUCAUAAUGCUGUUUUUACACAUGUAGAGACAGCCAAAGAUUUAUCGGCUAAGGAUGGGCCUGCGUCUGAUUAACUAGUUGGUGAGGUAACGGCCCACCAAGGUGACGAUCAGUAGCCGACCUGAGAGGGUGAUCGGCCACAUUGGAACUGAGACACGGUCCAAACUUCUACGGAAGGCAGCAGUAAGGAAUCUUGCACAAUGGGGGAAACCCUGAUGCAGCAACGCCGCGUGAACGAUGAAGGCCUUAGGGUUGUAAAGUUCUGAUCUGUGGGAAGAAGAAGUGACGGUACCACAGGAGAAAGCCCCGGCUAAAUACGUGCCAGCAGCCGCGGUAAUACGUAUGGGGCAAGCGUUAUCCGGAAUUAUUGGGCGUAAAGAGUGCGUAGGUGGUUACCUAAGCGCAAGGUUUAAUCUUGAGGCUCAACCUCAUUCUGCCUUGCGAACUGGGCUACUUGAGUGCAGGAGGGGAAAGCGGAAUUCCCAGUGUAGCGGUGAAAUGCGUAGAUAUUGGGAAGAACACCGGUGGCGAAGGCGGCUUUCUGGACUGUAACUGACACUGAGGCACGAAAGCGUGGGGAGCAAACAGGAUUAGAUACCCUGGUAGUCCACGCCGUAAACGAUGAGCACUAGUUGUUGG